GAGAGUUUGAUCCUGGCUCAGAUUGAACGCUGGCGGCAGGCCUAACACAUGCAAGUCGAGCGGAUGAAGGGAGCUUGCUCCUGGAUUCAGCGGCGGACGGGUGAGUAAUGCCUAGGAAUCUGCCUGGUAGUGGGGGAUAACGUCCGGAAACGGGCGCUAAUACCGCAUACGUCCUGAGGGAGAAAGUGGGGGAUCUUCGGACCUCACGCUAUCAGAUGAGCCUAGGUCGGAUUAGCUAGUUGGUGGGGUAAAGGCCUACCAAGGCGACGAUCCGUAACUGGUCUGAGAGGAUGAUCAGUCACACUGGAACUGAGACACGGUCCAGACUCCUACGGGAGGCAGCAGUGGGGAAUAUUGGACAAUGGGCGAAAGCCUGAUCCAGCCAUGCCGCGUGUGUGAAGAAGGUCUUCGGAUUGUAAAGCACUUUAAGUUGGGAGGAAGGGCAGUAAGUUAAUACCUUGCUGUUUUGACGUUACCAACAGAAUAAGCACCGGCUAACUUCGUGCCAGCAGCCGCGGUAAUACGAAGGGUGCAAGCGUUAAUCGGAAUUACUGGGCGUAAAGCGCGCGUAGGUGGUUCAGCAAGUUGGAUGUGAAAUCCCCGGGCUCAACCUGGGAACUGCAUCCAAAACUACUGAGCUAGAGUACGGUAGAGGGUGGUGGAAUUUCCUGUGUAGCGGUGAAAUGCGUAGAUAUAGGAAGGAACACCAGUGGCGAAGGCGACCACCUGGACUGAUACUGACACUGAGGUGCGAAAGCGUGGGGAGCAAACAGGAUUAGAUACCCUGGUAGUCCACGCCGUAAACGAUGUCGACUAGCCGUUGGGAUCCUUGAGAUCUUAGUGGCGCAGCUAACGCGAUAAGUCGACCGCCUGGGGAGUACGGCCGCAAGG
RNAcentral lists this ribosomal RNA (891 nucleotides) under uncultured bacterium. RNAcentral's name for it is "bacterial SSU rRNA". It matches the Rfam family "Bacterial small subunit ribosomal RNA", at positions 8 to 893 of the family's 1533-position model. The record is from RNAcentral.